RNAcentral lists this non-coding RNA (148 nucleotides) under Homo sapiens (human). Lineage: Eukaryota; Metazoa; Chordata; Mammalia; Primates; Hominidae. The record is from Rfam by way of RNAcentral.
GCCAGGCGUAGUGGUGUGCGCCUGUAAUCCCUGCUACUUAGGAGGCUGAGGCAGGAGAAUCACUUGAACCCGGGAGGCGGAGGCUGCAGUGAGCCACGAUGGUGCCACUGCACUCCAGCCUGGGAGACAAAGUGAGACUCUGUUUCAA